GACGAACGCUGGCGGCGUGCUUAACACAUGCCAGUCGAACGGAAAGGCCCUGCUUUUGUGGGGUGCUCGAGUGGCGAACGGGUGAGUAACACGUGAGUAACCUGCCCUUGACUUUGGGAUAACUUCAGGAAACUGGGGCUAAUACCGGAUAGGAGCUCCUGCUGCAUGGUGGGGGUUGGAAAGUUUCGGCGGUUGGGGAUGGACUCGCGGCUUAUCAGCUUGUUGGUGGGGUAGUGGCUUACCAAGGCUUUGACGGGUAGCCGGCCUGAGAGGGUGACCGGCCACAUGGGGCCUGAGAUACGGACCAGACUCCUACGGGAGGCAGCAGUGGGGAAUAUUGCACAAUGGGCGGAAGCCUGAUGCAGCAACGCCGCGUGCGGGAUGACGGCCUUCGGGUUGUAAACCGCUUUCGCCUGUGACGAAGCGUGAGUGACGGUAAUGGGUAAAGAAGCACCGGCUAACUACGUG
This 468-nucleotide ribosomal RNA is filed under the name uncultured bacterium. RNAcentral describes it as "partial 16S ribosomal RNA". It matches the Rfam family "Bacterial small subunit ribosomal RNA", at positions 28 to 507 of the family's 1533-position model. The record is from RNAcentral.